RNAcentral lists this unclassified non-coding RNA (1613 nucleotides) under Arthroderma melbournense. Its description in RNAcentral is "sequence contains ITS1, 5.8S rRNA gene, ITS2, 28S rRNA gene". The stretch from base 521 to 1613 matches the Rfam family "Eukaryotic large subunit ribosomal RNA", at positions 1 to 1113 of the family's 3401-position model. Lineage: Eukaryota; Fungi; Ascomycota; Eurotiomycetes; Onygenales; Arthrodermataceae. The record is from RNAcentral.
CCUGGCUUGAGAUAUAGCCCGGGCGGCGCUGGAGGCCGCCGGCAGUUGCCCAUUCUUGCCUACUGACCCAGUUGCCUCGGCGGGCCGCUGGGACCUCAAGGUCCCGGCGGCUACGGCCCGUGCCCGCCGCAGGACCGUCUAAAACUCAUUAUAUAUUGGCCAUCUGAGCAUUUAAAGCAAAUCAGUUAAAACUUUCAACAACGGAUCUCUUGGUUCCAGCAUCGAUGAAGAACGCAGCGAAAUGCGAUAAGUAAUGUGAAUUGCAGAAUUCCGUGAAUCAUCGAAUCUUUGAACGCACAUUGCGCCCCCUGGUAUUCCGGGGGGCAUGCCUGUUCGAGCGUCAUUGCAACCCUCAAGCCCGGCUUGUGUGAUGGACGAUCGUCCCACCCCUAGGGGCGGGACGCGCCCGAAAAGCAGUGGCCAGGCCGCGAUUCCGGCGUCUGAGCGAAUGGGACUUCCACCGCUUCUAGAACCGGCCGCCCUGGGCCUUUAACUAGCGUCCUAACGGACCCUCUAAGGUUGACCUCGGAUCAGGUAGGGAUACCCGCUGAACUUAAGCAUAUCAAUAAGCGGAGGAAAAGAAACCAACAGGGAUUGCCCCAGUAACGGCGAGUGAAGCGGCAAAAGCUCAAAUUUGAAAUCUGGCUCCUUCGGGGCCCGAGUUGUAAUUUGUAGAGGAUGCUUCGGGUGUGGCCACGGCCUAAGUUCCUUGGAACAGGACGUCAUAGAGGGUGAGAAUCCCGUCUUGGGUGGUUGGCCCACGCCCGUGUGAAGCUCCUUCGACGAGUCGAGUUGUUUGGGAAUGCAGCUCUAAGCGGGUGGUAAAUUUCAUCUAAAGCUAAAUAUUGGCUGGAGACCGAUAGCGCACAAGUAGAGUGAUCGAAAGGUUAAAAGCACCUUGAAAAGGGAGUUAAACAGCACGUGAAAUUGUUGAAAGGGAAGCGCUUGCGGCCAGACUCGGGCGCGAGGUUCAGCGGGUGCGUGUCACCCGUGCACUCCUCGCCGCCCGGGCCAGCAUCAGUUCUAGCGGCUGGUCAAAGGCCCCCGGAAUGUGUCGUCUCUCGGGACGUCUUAUAGCCGGGGGUGCAAUGCAGCCCGCCGGGACUGAGGAACGCGCUUCGGCUCGGAUGCUGGCGUAAUGGCCGUAAGCGGCCCGUCUUGAAACACGGACCAAGGAGUCUAACAUCCACGCGAGUGUUCGGGUGUCAAACCCGUGCGCGCAGUGAAAGCGAACGGAGGUGGGAGCCUUAGGGCGCACCAUCGACCGAUCCUGAAGUCUUCGGAUGGAUUUGAGUAGGAGCGUGGCCGUUGGGACCCGAAAGAUGGUGAACUAUGCCUGAAUAGGGUGAAGCCAGAGGAAACUCUGGUGGAGGCUCGCAGCGGUUCUGACGUGCAAAUCGAUCGUCAAAUUUGGGCAUAGGGGCGAAAGACUAAUCGAACCAUCUAGUAGCUGGUUCCUGCCGAAGUUUCCCUCAGGAUAGCAGUAACGAAAUUCCAGUUUUAUGAGGUAAAGCGAAUGAUUAGAGGCCUUGGGGUUGAAACAACCUUAACCUAUUCUCAAACUUUAAAUAUGUAAGAAGCCCUUGUUUCUUAAGUGAACGUGGGCACUAGAA